GACGAACGCUGGCGGCGUGCUUAACACAUGCAAGUCGAACGGUGAUGCUCCAGCUUGCUGGAGUGGAUCAGUGGCGAACGGGUGAGUAACACGUGAGCAACCUGCCCCAGACUCUGGAAUAAGCGCUGGAAACGGCGUCUAAUACUGGAUACGAAACUGGCCCGCAUGGGCAUGGUUUGGACAGUUUUUCGGUUUGGGAUGGGCUCGCGGCCUAUCAGCUUGUUGGUGAGGGAAUGGCUCACCGAGGCGACGGCGGGUAGCCGGCCUGGGAGGGCGGCCGGCCCCACUGGGACUGAGAGAGGGCGCAGAGGCGAACGGUAGGCAGCAGGGGGGAAUCUGGCACAGUGGGCGAAAGCCUGAUGCAGCGACGCCGCGUGAGGGAUGACGGCCUUCGGGUUGUAAACCUCUUUCAGCAGGGAAGAAGCGAAAGUGACGGUACCUGCAGAAGAAGCACCGGCUAACUACGUG
RNAcentral lists this ribosomal RNA (468 nucleotides) under uncultured bacterium. Its description in RNAcentral is "partial 16S ribosomal RNA". It matches the Rfam family "Bacterial small subunit ribosomal RNA", at positions 28 to 507 of the family's 1533-position model. The record is from RNAcentral.